Long non-coding RNA from Sinocyclocheilus anshuiensis, 581 nucleotides. RefSeq lists it as uncharacterized. The transcript has 2 exons. The record is from RefSeq and is a predicted model, not a curated record. NCBI's taxonomy places the organism in Eukaryota, Metazoa, Chordata, Actinopteri, Cypriniformes, Cyprinidae.
GUAUUCCAAGAGAGGGUGUUGCCGGAUAAAGUGAGAGUGGGUUACAUGAGUUAUAAUGUAAGAGCAUAUGUGCCUCCUCCUUUGAGAUGUUACAAAUGCCAAAAAUAUGGACAUAUUGCAGCUGGAUUUAAAGGAAAACAAAAGUGUGGAGGGGAGCAUAAGUAUGGGAAAUGUGAGGAUGGGACAGAGAUUAAAUGUGCUAAUUGUGGAGGUGCACAUAUGGUGACAUAUGGGGGGUGUGAAGUGAGGAAAAGGGCAGUAGAAAUACAGCAAAUAAGAGUUAACAAGGACAUAUCCUAUGCAGACGCAGUAAAUGUGGUUCAGAAGGAGAAAAGAGUGGAGAAGAAAGGGAAAGAAAUGGAAAAGGAACAUUCAAAUGAACAGGUUAUUACAAAAAGUCAGAUAGAAGAUGGAGAUAUGUUACUUGUAAAAAAGAAGGAUUUUGUGUAUUUCAUGGCUGAAGUUAUUAAUUGCACGUUCCAAGCAAAGGGGAGGUCUGAGAAAAUUUAAAUAACUGUAAAAAGUGCAGCAAGAUACUUAAAUAUUCAAGGAAUAUCUGGGAGGGGGGUACAAGAAGAGCU